UACGUAGGGUGCGAGCGUUAAUCGGAAUUACUGGGCGUAAAGCGUGCGCAAGCGGUCUGUUAAGACAGAUGUGAAAUCCCCGGGCUUAACCUGGGAACUGCAUUUGUGACUGGCAGGCUAGAGUAUGGCAGAGGGGGGUAGAAUUCCACGUGUAGCAGUGAAAUGCGUAGAGAUGUGGAGGAAUACCGAUGGCGAAGGCAGCCCCCUGGGCCAAUACUGACGCUCAUGCACGAAAGCGUGGGGAGCAAACAGG
RNAcentral lists this ribosomal RNA (253 nucleotides) under uncultured bacterium. RNAcentral's name for it is "partial 16S ribosomal RNA". It matches the Rfam family "Bacterial small subunit ribosomal RNA", at positions 524 to 776 of the family's 1533-position model. The record is from RNAcentral.